Molecule: transfer RNA, 70 nt
Filed under: Diaphanes citrinus
Lineage: Eukaryota; Metazoa; Arthropoda; Insecta; Coleoptera; Lampyridae
Description: tRNA-Lys
Source: RNAcentral
CACUAAAUGGCUGAAAGUAAGUAAUGACCUCUUAAGUCAUAUAAUAGUAAUUAACAACUACUUAUAGUGA